GGCAGGUGUGGAGGUGAAAUCAGGCUGGGAGCUUGCAGUGCUGCGGGAGCCGUCCCGGGGUGACAACAGGACAGGAGAAAAAAAACAAACAAACGCGGAGACCAUUCCAUGUUAUCGGCAGCAACAUUGUGAAAAACGAGCAUCCCAAACAGCCCCGGGCAAGAAGAACAGAAAACAUGUCUCCCGUUUGUUUCUGUUUGAUGAACGCAGUUGGAAGACGGGGUGUGACGGGCUUCACAGAGACAACACUUAACUUGGAUUUAUUCGAUGAAAACUCCUUUUUGAUUCUCACGAGUGGACUAAAGGGAUAUAAAUGUUCGAGAAAUGGACGCAAAUUCUGACUUUCUGAUCGCAUUUAAAAGCCAUGCCAGGCAGCACAGCUCCUCAUUAGGAAGCUGGACGGAUAGGGGAUCAUGAGUCUCACAUGCCGUCAGUGCCAGUAAUGUGGCGAACUAAACUGAACCUAGCAGUGUUGCUGGCUGGUGUUCGAGCACGGCUUGUGCACAGCUUGCGCAGAGACGGCGUGCUGUCACGGUCCCCGAGGAAGAGCUGCGGCGUUUGCCCGCUCUCGGUCCCAUAUGCCGGAGACAGACAGAGCUUGACAAAUGGAUGGCGGCGAUGAUAAUUACAUCGCUAAUGAUGAUGUCCUUCUGUACGGAGUAUGUGCCACAUAUGGCUCUGGUCUGUUACGGUUGACUAACAAUGUACAAAGCUUGAUAAACACUCAAAAUUAUAA
This is a long non-coding RNA of Acanthopagrus latus (yellowfin seabream), 736 nucleotides long. RefSeq lists it as uncharacterized. The record is from RefSeq and is a predicted model, not a curated record. NCBI's taxonomy places the organism in Eukaryota, Metazoa, Chordata, Actinopteri, Spariformes, Sparidae. The transcript has 2 exons.